This 248-nucleotide ribosomal RNA is filed under the name uncultured Actinomycetales bacterium. Its description in RNAcentral is "partial 16S ribosomal RNA". It matches the Rfam family "Bacterial small subunit ribosomal RNA", at positions 83 to 334 of the family's 1533-position model. The record is from RNAcentral. Lineage: Bacteria; Bacillati; Actinomycetota; Actinomycetes; Actinomycetales.
CAGGGUACUCGAGUGGCGAACGGGUGAGUAACACGUGGGUGAUCUGCCCUGCACUUCGGGAUAAGCUUGGGAAACUGGGUCUAAUACCGGAUAGGAACCAUCUUUAGUGUGGUGGUUGGAAAGUUUUUUCGGUGUAGGAUGAGCUCGCGGCCUAUCAGCUUGUUGGUGGGGUAAUGGCCUACCAAGGCGGCGACGGGUAGCCGGCCUGAGAGGGUGUACGGCCACAUUGGGACUGAGAUACGGCCCAG